This 694-nucleotide long non-coding RNA is filed under the name Rattus norvegicus (Norway rat). Its description in RNAcentral is "long non-coding RNA NONRATT018792". The stretch from base 597 to 665 matches the Rfam family "tRNA". Lineage: Eukaryota; Metazoa; Chordata; Mammalia; Rodentia; Muridae. The record is from RNAcentral.
AAGGCAAAUAAACCCUUUUCUCCCCAAGUUGCUUUGGUCAUGCUUGUUUGUGUUUGUUUGUUUGUGUUUGUACAGAAGGAUACAGCAGGAAUUGAAAGCACGUGCAAAGAAAAAUAAAGAUUUGGGCCAGUGGUGAGUAAACCUUGUAAAAAGGGACAAUGUAAUAAUGGUAAAGUGUUUUGUGUGUGUGUGUGUGUGUGUGUUCUUUUAUGCUUUUAGUCUUUGGACCCUGACUAGAGACAGUUUACACCCUAGACAUGAGAGAGAAUGGGUUUGAGAAAAACAGUCCUCCCGGACUCUCCGUGGAUGCUUUGAAGAAAGAGAAGGAAAAUGGGCUUAAGCUUUUUUGGAGCUCUCCUAGGGACAAAAGGAGGGUGGGAGCCUCCCUGCUGGUUCCUAUUAGAGAAGUGCUUAUUUCUGGUUCUGGAUCCUUUAGGAAGGAUAUCUGUGUCUCUUUGGUGUGGGACACCAUCUAGUUCUUUCCCUCUAUGUCUAUUGUCUGUCCUUGGUGCAACAAGCUGUCCAUGUCUGUGGUUUUUGCUUCUCAUUGCUUGAAUGUUUUGUGUUUCAUGUUUAAAAGAAAAAAAUGGGGGGUUGGGGAUUUAGCUCAGUGGUAGAGCGCUUGCCUAGGAAGCGCAAGGCCCUGGGUUCGGUCCCCAGCUCCAAAAAAAAGAACCAAAAAAAAAAAAAAAAA